AUGCUUUUCUCCACGAUUUCACUUCAAGACGUGGUCACACAGAAUGCCAGUAACGACACGAAAACAAGACAUGACUUAAAUACUUCACAUGCAGAACUUACAUUCUACUGUAAAAGCACGGCAAGGCAAAAACUCAAGUCGGACACACACCUCCCACCCCACCCCCUCCAAGACCCAUUUCUCAAGCAUCAACGCUACCAGAGUGCAAGAGUGACACCGACUGAAACAGUCAGCAACAGGAAGGGAAACACUCCAGAAGAGAUGGACACUGUACGUACCUUCCCACACUGCAACAGNNNNNNNNNNNNNNNNNNNNNNNNNNNNNNNNNNNNNNNNNNNNNNNNNNNNNNNNNNNNNNNNNNNNNNNNNNNNNNNNNNNNNNNNNNNNNNNNNNNNGGGGCGGGGAGGCGCGCUGCAGGGGGGCGCCGAGGAGCGGGUGAAGCCGUCGAGGAGCCAUGUUGGGUGUGGGAACGCUGCCGGGCGGGGGCGGCGCGUUUACACCGCGGCUGGACGGAGCUUCUAACAUUCUACACUCUUCUAAUUCGGUCACUGGUAAAUGCUUCAUUUACGUGUACUGCGCACGUGCAGAACUCGGGGAACGUCGCGGUGCUGACAGACGCUGCUUCAGCUCGGUCGGUGGCUUUUCCCUGCAGGACAAACAAGGCACAUGCUCAGAUGGCCCUCAGCUGUUGAGCCAGAGCGCACCAUCCCAAUGGCUUUGCUGGGAAGGAAGCCUGGUAAGAGCAGUGCUGCUGGUCUGAGUCCCAGCUGGCUUUUACCCCUGGGCAAUGCCCUGCAGGGGGGCUGGUGAGGGUGGGGGUUGGGCAGGGAUUGCUGCAUUCCCUCACACCUCUCCUGCCUAUUGUUUCCUUUGUCCCAGCAGGCUCCAGUUUAACAUCUGCCUGCAGCAGAGCAGCAACUGGCCACAGCACGUCCAUCUCAGGCAGGGGCUUGGGGACGCAGCCAGAAGAGGGCAAGGAGCGAGAGAUGGGAGUGCAGGGUGAGAGUGAGGUGUCCUCAGCCAGCGUUUGUGUGCUGGGAACAGAGAAGAAGCCGCUGGGAUGGGAGUUUCUCUCCUCUCCAAGCUGCUUCCCUGGGCCUUGGCCAUGCACAGCAAGGAGCACUUGCAGGAGCCCGUGGCCUUUGCAGAGGUGGCCAUGUAUUUCAGCAGGGCGCUGCUGGACCCUGCGCAGCGAGCGCUGUACCGGGCUGUGAUGCUGGAGACAUAGCAGUGCGUGGCCUCGCUGGGUGAGGGCUUUACUGCUGCUCCUUCUUGUUAGGGCAGCCCUGACUGUGCAGAAUGAGCCUCUGCAAGCAGGGCAUAGAAUAAAUGCAGUGCAGUUACUUAUUGGCAAGGCAACAGCAACAGAAGAAACACAGAGAAGCGUGAGUUGCAGAAUUAGCGUGCUCAGUCCCCUGAGAAAAGCCCCAGAGUCACUGCUGCCACACAGGUGUCAGCCGGAGGGGUUGGAUCAGCUCCCUGCAAACAGCCCUUGUGCUGCUGCUCUGCAUGGUGCCACCAGCUCCAGCACCCAGACGUCACACAGAUCACUCCUUUAGAAUUCUGUACUGUUCUGUUCCUUUCCCAUGAACCUUGUUGAAGUGUUGGUAAACAAAGCAUCCUAAAGGGAACGUUGAAGAAAAUGUCCCUGCAUCAUUUUCAGAGACGUAAAAGGCGUGCUGGGCUCCAAAGGAAGUCGGUAUGUGUUGGGCCAGUGUCAUUCAGAAUUGAUACGCUGACAUGCACCGGAGUGGGCUCAUGCUUGACAUCUUGUAAACAGGGUUGAAAAGAAACUUCAAAAUAAACACGCAGCCUUUGUAGGCCCUCCCCUCCAAAAUCCACGCAUUUUGCACGGCCAGAGGUGCCUUCCCAGUCUUCUGUCUGUUGGCAGUUUUACUUUAUCUGUUUUUUCUUCAGAUCACAGCAGAGUGAGUCUGCCUGCGUCAGCAGAAGAGCUGCCUUCGUGGAGGUGCAGUGAAGGUUUCUGACUGACCUGUCCUCACUUUGUAGGAGUUUUGUUUGCUUGCUUAAAUACAGUAAGAUGCUCUCACUGAUGAGUAUGUCCUUUGCCAUAAACAUGCCUGUGGCAAAAUGGUUAUUUUGACAUCAUCCUGCAGUGGCUAGGAUAACCGAGUCUUAGAAAAAUACAGCACCUCCCCCAGAGCUGUGAUGGCCGUGCUGCUGCUUGCUGAUCCUCCCUCUUAUCUGUGCUUUCCUUUACAGGACGCAGUUCUUUAUUAUGGCCCAAGGCCCCGUGGGCUUCUUCUCCUCCCACAAAGCUGCUCAGCCAGGAGGAGGCACAGGCACGGACACGAGGCCACAGCAGCUCCCGUUGUGUCAGACAGCAGAGACGUUGGAGUGGAAGAAGGCCCCACAGCUUUACAGGGGAAAUUGGACACAGUCAGUGACUUUCCAUCCAAAAGAUGAAGAGGAGUUUCUUUUGCAGCACCUAUCAUAAUUGUUUGGGUGUUUUGUUUUUUUCUCCAUUAUUACUGAUGCAAAACUUGCUGAAAC
Meleagris gallopavo (turkey) is the source of this 2515-nucleotide long non-coding RNA. Lineage: Eukaryota; Metazoa; Chordata; Aves; Galliformes; Phasianidae. The record is from Ensembl.